GAUGAACGCUGGCGGCGUGCCUAAUACAUGCAAGUCGAGCGAACAGAUGAGGAGCUUGCUCCUCUGACGUUAGCGGCGGACGGGUGAGUAACACGUGGAUAACCUACCUAUAAGACUGGGAUAACUUCGGGAAACCGGAGCUAAUACCGGAUAAUAUAUUGAACCGCAUGGUUCAAUAGUGAAAGACGGUUUUGCUGUCACUUAUAGAUGGAUCCGCGCCGCAUUAGCUAGUUGGUAAGGUAACGGCUUACCAAGGCGACGAUGCGUAGCCGACCUGAGAGGGAGAUCGGCCACCCUGGAACAGAGGAACGGUCCAGACUCCUACGGGGGGCAGCAGUAGGGAAUCUUCCGCAAUGGGCGAAAGCCUGACGGAGCAACGCCGCGUGAGUGAUGAAGGUCUUCGGAUCGUAAAACUCUGUUAUUAGGGAAGAACAAAUGUGUAAGUAACUAUGCACGUCUUGACGGUACCUAAUCAGAAAGCCACGGCUAACUACGUG
Molecule: ribosomal RNA, 497 nt
Filed under: uncultured bacterium
Lineage: Bacteria
Description: partial 16S ribosomal RNA
Rfam family: Bacterial small subunit ribosomal RNA
Source: RNAcentral